This 477-nucleotide ribosomal RNA is filed under the name Actinotignum schaalii. Its description in RNAcentral is "bacterial SSU rRNA". It matches the Rfam family "Bacterial small subunit ribosomal RNA", at positions 35 to 503 of the family's 1533-position model. Lineage: Bacteria; Bacillati; Actinomycetota; Actinomycetes; Actinomycetales; Actinomycetaceae. The record is from RNAcentral.
GCUGGCGGCGUGCUUAACACAUGCAAGUCGAACGAUGAAACCUAGCAAUCUUUGGUUGUUGGGUGGAUUAGUGGCGAACGGGUGAGUAAUACGUGGGUAACCUGCCCUCCUUUUUGGGAUAAGCCUUGGAAACGGGGUCUAAUACCGAAUAUUCUGGAUGAUUCGCAUGGAUUGUUUGGGAAAGCUUUUGUGAAGGGGGAUGGGCUCGCGGCCUAUCAGCUUGUUGGUGGGGUGAUGGCCUACCAAGGCGGUGACGGGUAGCCGGCCUGAGAGGGUGACCGGCCACAUUGGGACUGAGAUACGGCCCAGACUCCUACGGGAGGCAGCAGUGGGGGAUAUUGCACAAUGGGCGAAAGCCUGAUGCAGCGACGCCGCGUGGGGGAUGAAGGCUUUCGGGUUGUAAACCUCUUUCGCUAUCGAACAAGGCUCACUAUAGGGUGGGUUGAGGGUAGGUGGAGAAGAAGCGCCGGCUAACUA